GUCCAGGGUGUCGCAAGAGAGAACCAGGGCCGUUAGGAGCAGCACGGCCCUGCUCAGAUUCACCGUCACUCUCCCUGAGUUUGAUGCCUGACCAUCCAUGAGGUCAAAGACCUGUGGGUCCGGGACUGGCACCAGGGCAGCAGGCUCCUGGGCUACAGGAACACAGCCAGGGUAGGGGAGGUCUUCGGAAAGUUCUUCUCGGAGGAGGAGAGAAGGUUCUUCAUCCGCACGGCAGUGCUGGCCAUCCACGACCCCCUGCUGCAUGUCAGCCAGGCUGAGCUGGUCCUGGCCUACUCCCUCCUGGGGGAAGCCCAGCAGCUGAUGGGGGACAAGCAGGAGGACGUCACGACCAAUGUGACGUGCCAGCUCCUCACCAUCCGGCACUUGUGCCCGGUGCCUGUAGCACAGCAGGGCCUGUGCCUCUGAGGCCACCAGCAACUCCUGCUCCCUGCUGCAGGCCCUGGGAUCUGGCACAGCCUCCCAGACGGGCGCAGCCUGCAGCUGAGCCACCUCAGGGAGCAGUGGGGACAGGUCACCUCAUCCCAUCAAAACAAGCAAUGCUGGCUGUCAGGGGGCUUAAAUGGAAGACCCCUCUGUCAUGGAGGAUGGCCAGGCUCCUGAGGAUGUUCAGUAAGAAGGCUCUGCAGGUGGCCCCAGAGCCUGAGGGAAGCAGCUGCCAUCUUCCCCAGGAGUGGAGCAGCCCCUCCAGAAGGAGCUCCCAGCCAGGCCAGGAGGUGGAAGUGCCCAGCCUUCCGGUGGAGAAACCUCGCUCCCGGCGCAGACGCUGAGGUGGGAGAGGCCAGGCGGAAAUGCAGCUGCCCCAGGAUGUGGCUGGGCAGGCAGGACGCAGCGCAGGAGGGAAGCCGGGCAGGGUGGCUCUGGGGCUUGUGUGGGAAGCACCGGCCCCAGCCCUUAUUCCCAGCAGGAGGCAUCGCCCUGCCCGGUCACUGAGAACCUUCCAGCCUCGCCAGGGCAGGAGGUGGAGGAUCCAUGUCCCACCACCAGCAGCUUGGCCCACUCCCCACAGGACAGCAGCAGCGCCUGGGACCCGAGUAGCAGUGAGGCCGAUGGGCACGGCUGGUUUGUUCAAGCACAUUAACUACUAGAUCGUGUCCAGGGUGUCGGAAGAGAGAGCCAGGGUCAUUAGGGUUAGCACAGCCCUACUCAGAUCCAUCAUCAGCCUCCUUGAGUUUGAUAGGGCCUGUGGGGAAGGAAACUCCUGGCCCAGAGGGUACUGGGAGCUGACAGGAAAAUGCUGAUGGAGUCCCUUCUCCCUCUCCCAUCCAUUAGAACUCAGUGGAAUUCCCCAGGAUGGGUCACUACGUGGCACAGCUGGCUCUGUCCCUCAGUGACUGAGCCAGGACAUCAGCCAGCAAGCCAGGGAGGGGGUUUCCUGGCUCUACCAGCUCCUGCUGCACCAGAGGGGCAGGCAGCGAGGACUCUGCCCACUGUGCAUCCACCAAUGGGAUUGGAAGGACACAAGCACUGCAACCAGAAGGACAAGUGUGUGUGUGUGUGUGUGUAUGUGUGUGUGUCUCUUUCCCAGGCCUGACCAUCCAUGAGGCCGAAGACCUGUGGGUGUGGGACUGGCACCAGGACAGCAGGCUCCUGGGCUAUAUAAACAUAGCCACGGUGCAGGAGGUUUUUGGACCCCUGUGGCUUUGCUUCAGCAAGUCUCCUUCUCGAGGUCUCUCUUGGAGGACUGAGAGAGUAUUAGGGUUCACGUAAAUGAGCAUGAGGAGAACCUCUUUCGAGUUUUCUCCUUUCUUUUUCCUGAUUGUACUGGAAAACAGCCAUCCCUAUUUAGAAGGAUGGCCAGGCUCCUGAGGAUGUUCAGAGGAAGAAGGCUCUGUAGGUGGCCCCAGAGCCUAAGGGAAGCAGCUGCCAUCUUUCCCAGGAGCAGAGCAUCCCUGUUGGCGGGGAAGGAGCUCCUGGCUGGGCCAGGAGGUGGAAGUGUUUAUCCUUCUGGUGGAGAAAACCCACUCCCGGCGCAGGUGCCGAGCUGGGAGAGGCCAGGCGGAAAUGGAGCUGCCCCAGGAUGUGGCUGGGCAGGCAGGACCCAGCGCAGGAGGGGAGCCGGGCAGGGUGGCUCUGGAGCUUGUUGUGUGGGAAGCACUGGCCCCAGCCCUGAUUCCCAGAGGCAUCGCCCUGCCCGGUCAGUGAGGACCUUCCAGGCUCCCCAGGGCAGGAGAUGGAGGAUCCCUGUCUCAGCACCAACAGCUCGGCCCGCUCCCCAUGGGACAGCAGCAGUGCCUGGGACUCGGGCAAUAGCGAGGCUCAUGGUUCAGGCUGGUUUGUUCGAGGGACCCCCCAGGGACUCAGAGGAUGAGGAGGAGGAAUGGGUGAAUGUGGCCACAGAGAAGGCUGCUCUCAAUAACCUGAGAGCAGCUCCAGGGCCGAGAAAAGGAGAAGGCCCAGCAGCUCAUGUUCCUAAACACCAUCCACCCCACGUGUCUUGCUGCACAGCAGAGAGGGCAGGACACACUGGAGCCGCACUGCUGCAAGUCUCACAGGAGGUCAUUGAGGAGCUGCCUGAUAACUCUCCACCCAGGACCUUCCUCGCUAACUCGCUGAUUGUUGAUCUGCAUAGCGUCAUGCCAGACCUCUUGGACACCGGCAGGCUCCACUACAUCUUGGAGCACAUUAACUACUGGAUCGUGUCCAGGGUGUCGGAAGAGAGAGCCAGGGUCGUUAGGAGCAGCACAGCCCUGCUCAGAUCCACCGUCACCCUCCCUGAGUUUGGUAACUCAGCGGAAUUCCCCAGGACGGGUCACCAUGUGGCACAGCUGGGUCUGUCCCUCAGUGAUCCAGCCAAGGACAUCAGCCGGCAGGCCAGGGAAGGGGUUUCCUGGCUCUACCAGCUGCUGCUGCACCAGAGGGGCUUGACCAUCCAUGAGGCCGAAGACCUGUUGGUCUGGGACUGGCACCAGGACCAGCAGGCUCCUGGGCUACAGGAACACAGCCACGAUGCGGGAGGUUUUUGGAAAGUUCUUCUCGGAGGGGCAGGGAAGGUUCUUCAUCCACAUGGCAGUGCUGGCCAUCCACGCCCCCCUGCUGUGUGUCAGCCAGGCUGGGCUGGUCCUGGCCUACUCCCUCCUGGGGGAAGCCCAGCCGCUGACUGGGGACAAACAGGAGGGCGUCAUGGCCAAUGUGAUGCGCCAGCUCUGCAUCAUCCGGCACUCGUGCCAGGUUACCGAGGCACUGCAAGGCCUGUGCCUCUGAGGCCACCAGCAACUCCCGCUCCCUGCUGCACGAGGUCAUUGAGGAGCUGCCUGAUAACAUUCCACCGGGCACCGUCCUAGCUAGCUCCCUGAUUUCUGUGGGCAACCUCAGCUUCACAUGUGUGUUGGUGCCAGUCCCACCCUCACACUGCACAGUCUAAUACCGGCUCCUGUCACUUGCCAGCACCAUGACACCUGCCCUGGAGCUGGAGACCCAGCUCCUCCGAGCUGCCCUCCACGCCGUCUUCACCCUGGGCAAGGAGAAGGACACCACCCAAGUCCAGGAUCUGCAUAGGGUCUUGCCUGACCUCCUGGCCUGCUGG
Molecule: RNA transcript, 3544 nt
Organism: Gopherus evgoodei (Goodes thornscrub tortoise)
Lineage: Eukaryota; Metazoa; Chordata; Testudines; Testudinidae
Exons: 23
Source: RefSeq, a predicted model, not a curated record